GACGAACGCUGGCGGCGUGCUUAACACAUGCAAGUCGAACGGUAAGGCCCUUCGGGGUACACGAGUGGCGAACGGGUGAGUAACACGUGGGUGAUCUGCCCUGCACUUCGGGAUAAGCCUGGGAAACUGGGUCUAAUACCGGAUAGGACCACUGCCUGCAUGGGUGGGGGGGGAAAGCUUUUGCGGUGUGGGAUGGGCCCGCGGCCUAUCAGCUUGUUGGUGGGGUGAUGGCCUACCAAGGCGACGACGGGUAGCCGGCCUGAGAGGGUGACCGGCCACACUGGGACUGAGAUACGGCCCAGACUCCUACGGGAGGCAGCAGUGGGGAAUAUUGCACAAUGGGCGCAAGCCUGAUGCAGCGACGCCGCGUGAGGGAUGACGGCCUUCGGGUUGUAAACCUCUUUCAGCACCGACGAAGCGCAAGUGACGGUAGGCGCAGAAGAAGGACCGGCCAACUACGUGCCAGCAGCCGCCGUAA
Molecule: ribosomal RNA, 478 nt
Filed under: uncultured bacterium
Lineage: Bacteria
Description: partial 16S ribosomal RNA
Rfam family: Bacterial small subunit ribosomal RNA
Source: RNAcentral